UACGUAGGGAGCAAGCGUUGUCCGGAAUUACUGGGUGUAAAGGGAGCGCAGGCGGACUGUCAAGUUGGGAGUGAAAACUACGGGCUCAACCCGUAACUUGCUUUCAAAACUGGCGGUCUUGAGUGGUGUAGAGGUAGGCGGAAUUCCCGGUGUAGCGGUGGAAUGCGUAGAUAUCGGGAGGAACACCAGUGGCGAAGGCGGCUUACUGGACAGUGACUGACACUGAGGCUCGAAAGCGUGGGGAGCAAACAGG
This 253-nucleotide ribosomal RNA is filed under the name uncultured Oscillospiraceae bacterium. RNAcentral describes it as "partial 16S ribosomal RNA". It matches the Rfam family "Bacterial small subunit ribosomal RNA", at positions 524 to 776 of the family's 1533-position model. The record is from RNAcentral. Lineage: Bacteria; Bacillati; Bacillota; Clostridia; Eubacteriales; Oscillospiraceae.